GACGAACCGUGCGAACGUUAUUCGGAAUCACUGGGCUUAAAGCGCGUGUAGGCGGGACGGCACGUCGGUCGUUGAAAUCCCCCGGCUCAACCGGGGAACCGGCGCCGAUACGACCGUCCUGGAGGGACGUAGGGGGACCUGGAACUUCCGGUGGAGCGGUGAAAUGCGUUGAGAUCGGAAGGAACGCCCGUGGCGAAAGCGAGGUCCUGGACGUUUUCUGACGCUGAGACGCGAAAGCCAGGGGAGCGAACGGG
RNAcentral lists this ribosomal RNA (254 nucleotides) under uncultured bacterium. RNAcentral describes it as "partial 16S ribosomal RNA". It matches the Rfam family "Bacterial small subunit ribosomal RNA", at positions 524 to 776 of the family's 1533-position model. The record is from RNAcentral.